CUAACAACACACAACAUUCCAGGAAUGUACUACCAAAGUUCUAUCAAUAUUUGAAUGUCCUGGACAUUUAGGGAACAUUCGGUGAACAUCUGUUUAAAUUAUUCCUGGAAUGUUACCAUAAGACAUUCUGUGAACAUACUACCAAUGUUCCUAUAUUUUAAGUUGCGAAAUAAUACAUACGUGUAAGAGAUACAACAUUACUUAUAACAUACCAGACAAACUAAGUGACAUUUUAGGCCUACAGUGCAAUAAUAUGUCAAAUUUAAAGAGUUUCCCAAGAUUAUAAACAUACAAAUGUAAUAAAAAUUAUUGUUCGCGAAUAUUCAAUUUGGAAUGCGAUUUUGUUAAUAAAAAAAAUACUUAUAACUUAUGCAAAACCCAAGAGAGGCAUUUAUAUUUAUUUCUUUUGCGUUCAUUUUCAAAUUCGCCGUGCAUAUAUUUUUGUGCAUGGCGCUUGAGAGGGCAUCACGUGACUAAAAACGACCAACCAACGACCUCGCUUCGGCCAUCUUGGCAUCUUCAUCUUGGCGACCUUGCCUUGCCGUGGAUUGUUUUUAGUUGUUUGUAUUAUUUGUACUUUUUAAGAAUAUUUUUUUAAUUCGGAUACUUUUAUAAUAGCUUUAAUAGUAUUAUUAACAUAGUGCAUAAAAUGGUGUCCUGUUUUUAACGCAGUUGGAGUAGCAGAAACAAAUGUAGAUAAAAAAAUCUGCAGGAAUAACGUUUCAAUUAUGACAGAAGCUCAAAACAAAUGACUGUGAAUGAAAAGCCCUAUUAAAAGCUUUCCAGAAGAUCCUGCGAAGAAGACAUGAAGUAUAGAUCAGAUUUGUUAAUAGAGGAGUAUGUUCAAAACACUUUUUAGAAAAAGAUAUUGACAGAACUUCACUUUCAUCUGUUCGUUUGAGAGACUGUGCUGUUCCAAUAGCUUAUGUCACACAGAAUCAGCUGAGAGAAGUGGUCUACAAAAAACCAGAAAGGAAACGGAAUAUGUGGCUACGAAAAGCAAAAGAAAGGUUUACAAAGCAAAUGUGACACAUUUUUUUAUAAUAUUUAGGAAUGUCAGCAAAUUACAUUAAAAAAUGUAUGUAAAGAUUUUUUGCAAUAAAAAUGUUUAUAUUUA
This is a long non-coding RNA of Diabrotica virgifera virgifera (western corn rootworm), 1117 nucleotides long. RefSeq lists it as uncharacterized. The record is from RefSeq and is a predicted model, not a curated record. NCBI's taxonomy places the organism in Eukaryota, Metazoa, Arthropoda, Insecta, Coleoptera, Chrysomelidae. The transcript has 3 exons.